RNAcentral lists this transfer RNA (63 nucleotides) under Amaga expatria. RNAcentral describes it as "tRNA-Cys". Lineage: Eukaryota; Metazoa; Platyhelminthes; Tricladida; Geoplanidae. The record is from RNAcentral.
UAUUUUUUAGUAUAAGAAAUAUAAUUGAUUGCAGAUCAAAAGAUAAGAAAUUCUUAAAAAUAU